Molecule: ribosomal RNA, 253 nt
Filed under: uncultured bacterium
Lineage: Bacteria
Description: partial 16S ribosomal RNA
Rfam family: Bacterial small subunit ribosomal RNA
Source: RNAcentral
UACGUAGGGUGCGAGCGUUGUCCGGAAUUAUUGGGCGUAAAGGGCUCGUAGGCGGUCUGUCGCGUCUGGUGUGAAAAUCCAGGGCUUAACCCUGGACCUGCAUCGGGUACGGGCAGACUAGAGUGCGGUAGGGGAGAUCGGAAUUCCUGGUGUAGCGGUGAAAUGCGCAGAUAUCAGGAGGAACACCGGUGGCGAAGGCGGAUCUCUGGGCCGUAACUGACGCUGAGGAGCGAAAGCAUGGGGAGCGAACAGG